Molecule: ribosomal RNA, 253 nt
Filed under: uncultured bacterium
Lineage: Bacteria
Description: partial 16S ribosomal RNA
Rfam family: Bacterial small subunit ribosomal RNA
Source: RNAcentral
UACGGAGGGUGCAAGCGUUAUCCGGAUUCACUGGGUUUAAAGGGUGCGUAGGUGGGUCUGUAAGUCAGUGGUGAAAUCUCCGGGCUUAACCCGUAAACUGCCAUUGAUACUACAGGUCUUGAAUUUUCCGGAGGUAAGCGGAAUAUGUCAUGUAGCGGUGAAAUGCUUAGAUAUGACAUAGAACACCAAUUGCGAAGGCAGCUUACUACAGGAACAUUGACACUGAGGCACGAAAGCGUGGGGAUCAAACAGG